This is a long non-coding RNA of Chelonia mydas (Green sea turtle), 628 nucleotides long. RefSeq lists it as uncharacterized. The transcript is spliced from 3 exons. The record is from RefSeq and is a predicted model, not a curated record. Lineage: Eukaryota; Metazoa; Chordata; Testudines; Cheloniidae.
CAUGGGGAGCAGUUCCAGAGCAUCAACCAGGGACUCCGUGACAUGGGCGUACCCCAUUGUACAGACUGUCACAUCCCCCCUUCGUGUCUCUUCUCCAAGAGGAGCCGUCCCACUCUUUUUAAUCUCGCCUCAUCUGGAAGCUGUUCCAUUUUCCCUGCCCUGCUCUGCCCCUUUCGCAAGGCUAACACACCCUUUCUGGAGAUGGAGAGACCAGAGCUACCUGCAGUGGACAAGGUGGGGGUGCACCAGGGAUUUAUACAGCAGCUUUAUGCCAGUUUGCCCUGGGGAGGCUGUUCCAGAGCUUCGCUCCUCCGAUGGUUAGAGACCUGCGGCUAAGUUCCUGCCUACACGUGUUGCCGGCCGCAGUCAGUGGUUUGGAAUCAGGCCCUUCUCCAAACCCUGGGACCAGCCCAUUGCGUGACCAGCAACCUGGGCUCAGGAAGCUGCAAACCGGCUUGUGAAAUGUGACACCAGGCAGGAGAUGUGCAUGUGGGAAAUCCCCAGCCAGCCCCCUGCAGCCCUGCAUCUGCCCUGGCCUGCGGCCUCCACAACCAGCACCAUUAAAAAACGAGAAGCGGCUGUCACACACACACACACACACUGUGCGUGUCAGGAGUGCACACUGUGA